This 811-nucleotide long non-coding RNA is filed under the name Rattus norvegicus (Norway rat). Its description in RNAcentral is "long non-coding RNA NONRATT029107". The record is from RNAcentral. Lineage: Eukaryota; Metazoa; Chordata; Mammalia; Rodentia; Muridae.
CACAGUGCUGGUUCUUUAUCUGAAGCCAAGCGUGGAGGUGCACAUGUUACAGACCCAGUGAGUUCAGAAGUAGAGGCAAAAGGGUCAGGUCAAGGUCAUCCAUUGCCAUAUGGAGAGCUCAGGAUUAACCCGUGGUACAAGCGACCCUAUCUCAAAAAACAAAGACUCCAUAAAGAGCCAGGUAAGUGUGUCUGUAGCCCCAACACUCAGGGAGUUAGGGCUAGAAUAUGGCUUGAGUCCAGGAGUUCAAGACCAGCUAGGCAGCACAGUGAAGACCUUAUUUCAAAAAGAGAAAAGGAAAGAAGCCACUGGGCAGCACGUUCUCUCAAAUCUGAGCCUUCGUCUGCUUUCUCCCUCCACUGCCCUCUCAUGGACAAAGAAAAACAGAGGAAUGAUGACCCGUACUUCCAGGAUGACUUGCUAGAAACCCUCUGGGGGAAAGGUGCCACCAACAGCUCUCCUGUGGAGUAAAGAAUAUCUGGAAUUCAUCUGGGAUGAACCUCAGUGUGUGUUCCAACCCCUGCUUGUCUAUUUAACUGCCAAAGUAUGACCUUGGACAGGCUCCCUAAGCUUUAGUUGGUGUCUGUAAAACAUAUGAUCACCCACUCUCAUGGUUUCUGUAAGCACUGGAUAAAAAUGGAAGGUAGAGUGGUGCGGACUUUGGUUUUUGUAUGUAACAGCUGCACAGGAGAUGCAGUUUUCCAGUCUGAGUCACCAGUGCCUCUGCCCCGAGUCCUGGGGUUAAACACAUGUACCACCAUGCCCAGCAAAAAAACUUUUUUUAAAAAUACAUUACCUGCUGAAUACUUCC